AAGGAGCCACCAGAGAGGAAGUCCAUAGUGAGAUGGCAUGGUCAAUUCAUAACGGAUGGGUGCUUAUGCCAAGCUAAAAGAACGGGACGCCCCUCAGCUUCAGAAGAUGUGAUUGAACAAGUUCGAACUGCGUUUCAGCGGAGCCCCCGUAAUUCGAUCAGAUGAUCCAGUAUGGAACACACCAUGCGAUUUCUUUUUGUGGGGAUUUGUGCAAGGAUGGGUCUAUGUGCCCCCUAUUCCAAGAGACGUGGAUGAGCUGAAGGCACGAAAAGCAGAAGCUGUUGCAACCAUUGACAAUGCAAUGCUGGGACGCAUUCGGCAAGAAUUUGACUAUCGGCUUGAUGUGUGUGGUGUGACCAAUGGUGCUCACAUUGAACAUCUUUGAACAUUCCAUGUAAAAAUUGAGAUUACAAGCUUUCCGAAUUUACCAGAUGCGCUUUUAUAUCCUUAAUAGUACACCCUAUAUUCAAUGUCAAAAUGUGCCCAAGACUUUUGGAACACCCUGUAUUAAGCCACAAAGCAUUCAUUUUUGGAACAAGUUGGAAUUGGAAUGUGUUCAAUCAGCCUGCCAUGCAUGUUUUGGGGAUGUGGGAGGAAACCGGAGCACCUGGAGAAAACCCACGCAGGCCCGGGGAGAACAUACAAACUCCACACAGGAAGGCCAGCGCUGGAAUCGAACCCGGUACCUCUGCACCGUGAGGCCAACGACUCGACCACCGGGCCGCCGC
Hippocampus zosterae (dwarf seahorse) is the source of this 728-nucleotide long non-coding RNA. RefSeq lists it as uncharacterized. The transcript is spliced from 2 exons. The record is from RefSeq and is a predicted model, not a curated record. NCBI's taxonomy places the organism in Eukaryota, Metazoa, Chordata, Actinopteri, Syngnathiformes, Syngnathidae.